This is a non-coding RNA of Paramormyrops kingsleyae, 5965 nucleotides long. Lineage: Eukaryota; Metazoa; Chordata; Actinopteri; Osteoglossiformes; Mormyridae. The record is from RefSeq and is a predicted model, not a curated record.
AAGAUAUCUACCCCCGGAAACAUUAUGGCUUUGUCUGGUGUACUUAACCUGAUAUUCUGCGGUGUACCUGUUAUGUAAUAACGUGAGUUAUGCAGGUGCUUAUAAUGAAUUAGCUCUGAGUAUCUGACAUCUCCUCAUACGGACAGGGCUGCUCCAGGCUUCUUGGAGAGAAGCCUCCCUUUCUGGGUCACCCUCCAGAGAUAGUAUAGCCCCAGCUACACUGGAACAAGCUUCAUCUGUUGAAAUUGGGUCUGUUGGACACAGCUGGCCAGGGGAUGGCCCCGGUACAUUAUGGGAACAAAAUAAAAGAAAGCAUAAUUCCUGGCAACCACGUUUAAAAAAAGCCUUCAAGCUUAAGGGCGUAACCAUAGUUUACUAACACGCUUCUGCCAAUUUGUCUAAAUUUUUAAAGUGACACUUUUACCUACAGGUGGAUACAUCUACUACAGAAAUUUAGGUUAAGCACUUUUAAUGGAGGUUACAAACUUUUACACUGAAUCAGAAUUUUUAACCACUACAGAAAUAGUGUAUAGAACUCUAUGAAUAAUGUGAAACAUUUACCCAGGGGUUAAACAGUCAGUUUUAUGACUUUUUUUUUUUUUUUAGCAAUGUAUGCUAUGUAAAGUAAUUCAUAGUGCUGCGGUCAGCUAUUAAUAAUACUUAAUGUUUACUCAGAUACUCAGAGAGAGUGGUGGUGGUGCGGUUCUGCGGGUUAGAACUUGAAAGGUUGCCAGGCGAAAUCCUGUGGCUGGCAGAGUAAUUUCACCGUUGGGCCCCUGAGCACAGGCACUUAACCCUAGUCGCUUCAGGGCCUGGUUGACCCUGUUGCCCAAUCCUCACUUUGGAUAAUAGUGUCUGCUAAAUGUAACAUAAUCUAUGUGUUCUCGUUCAGCUACAGCUCUUUGAAACUCUACAGACAUUAGCAAAACCUUUGAGAACAGUAAUGGAUAUGAAAGGGAAUUCCACCACCCAAAAACAGUUUGAGUUCAGGUGUCUAAUCAUCAUGACCAAUCAACUUUUUGCCUGGAGGCCUUCAGUGUCGUAGUUGCCAAACUGGUGUGAAUCCAGUUUUAUUUCGUGGAAACAUGCUGUGUUUAUACUGAACAGAAAGGGCAGGUGUUUCUAGAAGGAAGCCCUUGCUUUUAAAUAGAAAAGCAUAAUAAGAAAAUGCAUUUUGUGAAGUAUUAAAUUCACUCCUGUUUUUUCCAUGAAAGCCAGUUUAAACGCACUGAACUCCAUCAUUGAAAGCUUCUGAAAAAACAUGCUACAGACUCAAUGCCAUCCUCUCGUGCCAAUUGAAGAUUUUUACACAUUAGACAUUAAUUUCCAUCUAAUGUACUAAAGAUCAAUUGACUAAUUGUGUAACUGCUGUAGCUGCUCCAGGGACUGGCCGACCCUGUUUCUCAGUUGUACCUCGCUUUGGACAAAAGCAUCUACUACAUAAAUAAAUGCAAAAGAGGUAAAUGAACUUAGUCAUACGAUCCCCCUAAGUUUAUGAUGUGUUUUAUUUGAGGGACAUUAUCUUUGCAGUUUACAGAAGAACAGAAUCAUCUCUGCAUGUCUAUUUAAGGAAGGUCUGCUGGGCCUGCAGGGUUUUUAAUGGUCUCGCAGCUCACAUUUGGGUCCUGCACAGAUUCUCGGGAGAAGAGCUGUCAGGUAUCUGUGGGUUGCCAGUUACCUUCGGCGAGGUUCUGAAUAAAAAUCCCCCUCCAAUGAGGCAGAGUGUGACAUUCGGGCUGUAAAGCGGGGAUCUGCCCGCAAACUGGUAGAGUCACGCCCACGGUCUUCGGUACAGAGUCUCCAGCAUUGUCAGGUUCACCUGAACGCCGUUUUCCUUUCUGUAGAGCUCAAAAGCAGCUGGAUCUUUAAGACGAAAAAAGUUACUGUACAGCAGCAGCUUACUUUUCAGGGUAAAGAGGGUGACACACUGACAUGGCAAUCAACCCUACUACGGAAUAUACUGAGGAUGUAUUCACACUGUCAUGCUCAUUUGGGUAAAUGAGAAUGAAAAACAGGUUAAAAUGAUAGUAGACUCACAACAGUGCAGUACGACUGUAUCAGUAUCCCCCAAAAUACUGAUGAUAUAUUUUUUCUCUUUUGUUUUAGAUGUUAAGUCUUGGUAAAUUCAAGAUCUGAAUUUUUUUUUAGGUGGUGGUAACUUUUCGAGGUGAUGUUCUCCUUGUUUUCCAACCGCGGCCUCUCUAGACUGAUGUAUUGGCUUUGAUUUUUUUGAUUUGCUGUAAAAUAUCUUGUCAGUUGUUGUCCAGAAAAACAACGGGCCCCUCCACUGGGACCUUAUCUGUAUGCCGCCGUUCCUGUUUGCUGAAUCAGAGACGGAAAAAGAGGCUCACUGUGCUCAUUCUGACACAUGCCAGGCCCGCUUGUUGUUUACACAGAGGGGAGCACAAAUGUGACCUCACAGCAAAGAGACGGCGUGUUUCACAGGCUCUGCUCAAUAAUGGAUUUGUAUUGCUAUUCUGGGACCCUUUAUGCUCUGAAAAGAUUAAAACUCACAAUCUCAGCUCAAUAAUAGAAGGUCCAGUGAGGUGUGUUGAACCUAUGUUUUAUUCUGUUGUGUUGUUUCUGGUCUACUGAUCCUUCAUCCAUCCAUCCAUCCAUCCAUCCAUCUAUCAGGCCAUUUGAUAUUUCUCCCGUGUACUUCAAGAUUUAUGGCAUCAUACCAAUCCAUUUUUUAAUGCAGGACCCGAUCAGUCGUAGAUCUCUUCUGGCACAACAGCCGUUCUUUCUAACACAAAACAGCAUCUCUACUAGCGAAUAAUGCCGUCUAAUACAUUUGUACAAAAAGGUUAACAUUUUAUUUACUAAAACUAAACUAAACCCCCGACUUUAACGCCGAUUCCACACGUCAUGCCCUCACGGUCGGUAAUCUACCGCCACCUACCAGGGGCUGAUGUGAACACUACCUCUACACCCCCAAGAAUACCUGAUAAUACGUAGCAGCACACCAUAAGCGGCGCAUUGUAGCUUAUGCGUCCAGAAAAUAGUACAGCAGAAACCAUAAUUAAAAUACCAAAAACUCCGAAUUAUCACAUAUACUGCUGCGUAAAAAGGACGAGACGACAAAAUAUAAUACGUCAAUAAAAAUACAGCAUUCUAGUAACAAUAUUGGGCAGAUUUUUUUCGUGAACAUUUCGGAAAUAAGCGCCAGGGGAGAUUUUUACAACGGUUUAAAGGCAAGUAAUGCAAAUGAUGAUCCUUAACUCACAUUUCACAGUAAAACAGCAAGGAACAUCUAACGAUGAAAGAACGACACGCAUACACUACUGCCAAUUUAUAAAGACUCUUGUAACUCCAAGAGUACUAUCAAUAAAGCCUUCUUGUACUGUAUAUUGUAUAAAAUAUUUCGUUAAAUCGUGCGUAGCUCUAAGAAAAUUUUACAGAUAAAAUAUUGAUUAAAGUUCAGACACCCGUCAAUGGAUCCCCCUAGCGGACCACUUGCUGAUUGGCUAAUGGACAUGCAUACGUAUUCACAGCCACCCACAUGCUACAAUGGCGCCGUUUCCGUCAUGGAUGUAAAUGGGUGGAAUAAAUAAAGUUUUAUUCAAAAGCAACUGUCAUGGCAACAGCGUCGUCGGGGGCAUGCUUCCAGCUUGUGUUCUACAGAUGGAAGACACCUUCCUCGCUGCUGAAACCAAUGAUAAAUUUAACAGGAAAGAGAAAGUGGCCUCUGAGAAGAAGGCAGAAUUCCUCCGGAAUGCGGAGAAGUUUAGAAAACAGAUUAAUGUCCUGGAAAAAGAGAAGCGCCAGAGUAUUCAAAGUAAAAGAAGUGCGUUCAGAGGUGGUUUUGAAGAGCUGGAGGAGCUGGGCAGGAGGUUACAGGAAGACAGGAAGGCUGAGGUCAAGAAACUCCAACAGCGACUUGCGAAAAUCUGCAAUGGCGUGAGCCGCUUCCGGGGGCAGCUGGCUGACGUGAAGCCUACUGCACAAGUUCUUGAAAAGCUGAACGAAUUGAUGACUGAAGUCGAGAGCUCCAUUGGCACUUUGAAGGAGGAGCAGUGCCGUGGCUAUGAGGAGCUCUGCAAAGCGGAGAGAAUUUGCUGGUUGGAGAUUUGUGCACUUGAGAAGAAGAUAGAGGCCUGGACCUUGGGUGUGGCUGCAGGCCCCCAGGAUCCUCCCCCCUCUGCCAAAGUGCGCCUGGUCCAAGCCUUGGAGGAUGACUUGCCACCAGAGGUGGUGGAGCUCGAGAUCUUCCUGCAGCGAACUGGAGGCAGGCUGGGUGGCUGGGACCAGUAUGAUCACCAUACCUUCCUCAAGGUGUGGACCAAGUACAGUGGAAGGCCAGCCUACAGGAAAGAGGCUCUGCUCUACCUGCCAGGGAAGGCGGAAGAGGAGAUGCAGCAGCAUGAGGAUUGGUAUCAGAAGCUCCUGUCUCUCCAGGAGAAAAAGAAGGAGGCCAUCCUUCGAUGGAAAGCGAAGCGGCAGCAGGAGAAGGAGGCACAGUGCCAGCAGCAGGUUAAGGAAGAGGACGCCACAAGGCAGAAGAAGGCUGGGCUGGAGGAGGCUCACCGGUGCCGGCUGGAGGAGGAGAGGCAGGAAGCUGCGGUCCACCUAGAGGCAUGGAGGACACAGCGCGGGCUGCAAGAGGCUAAGGAAAAUCAGCGUAAGCUUCAGGAGGAAGUGCUACAGAGGAGGCAGGAAAAAGAGGAGCGCAGGAAGCAGAUAGAGGUGAAGAUGAUGGUGGAGGCCUACAUCCAGCAGAGGAAGGAACAAGAGGAGCUCCUCGUGCAUGAGAAGGAAGCCCAAGAACAUGCAGAGAUGGAGGAGAGAAGGAGGUGUGCAGCUAGAGGGAUCAAACAAUUCCAGGAGCGGGACCUUCAGAAGCUGGAGACCAAGCUGCAGGAGAGACAGGCUAAGGAGGAUGAGGAGGCUGAGCGAGGAAGGAGGCUGGCGAGGCUGAAGGAGAAGGUUGAAGGGCAUGUCAUUCAUGACCCUGAAAGGAUCUCAAAGUCCACCAAGGUAUGGGAGGAGCGUACCAAGCACGUAGGGCCAUCAGGGGGAGGUCGAGUAUUCCAUGUGUUUCACAGGGCUGUGCCAGCAUGGAGACAAGACCUGUGACCAGCAGCCCAUCUGUCAAACAUGGCAACCAUGAACUAUUGUAAAAUCAUAAGUACUAAUGUAAUUUAAUAUGAAGUAGUACAUGGAGGACCAAAUUACUCACACUCCAACACCAUUGUGAAGUUCACGGAUGACACAUUGGUAAUUGGACUCAUCACCAACAACGAUGACUCAGCCUACUAGAGGGAGGUGGAGAACCUGUCGGUAUGGUGUAGGUCCAACUGCCUCAGUCUGGAUGUCAGCAAAACUAAAGAGCUGAUAGUGGUCUACAGCAAGAAGAAGCAGCGCUCCUUCUCACGCUUCCAGAUCAACAGUGUUCCAGUGGAGAGGGUUGACAACAUCAAAUACCUUGGGGUUCUGCUCACUGAGGACCUCACUUGGCACUCACAUGUCAGCACUCUGGUCACCAGGGCGAGGAAGUCGCUGUACCACCUGAGACAGCUGAGGAGAUUUAGGGUCACUCCAGUGAUCCUAAAAACCUUCUACUCAGCUGCUGUGGAGAGCAUCUUGACCAUGAACAUUACGGUAUGGUUUGGGAACUGUUCUCUAAAGGACCGCAAAGGAACACUGCAGGUCCAGAGGUACUAAGAUAAUGAAGGACUCCUUACACCCCGCAAACUCUGUUCCGCAGGCUAAACUCAGGUAGACGGUUCCAUUGCCUAAUGUCCAGGACAGAGAGACUCAGGUAGAGCUUUUUCCUCCAGGCCAUAAGGCUUCUCAACUCAAACUAAUUCUGGUCCUUCUGUACACUACGUAUGUUUGUACUGGAAUUCACAUAUACUGCACAUGUUCACUUUACUGCACAAAUAACUUUAGUCUGUACAUCCUUGCCAUUGCACUAUAUUUUAGAUUGUAUAUUUAGAUUAUAUACGGUACUUAGAUUAGAUUA